GUGAACGCUGGCGGCAUGUUUAAGGCAUGCAAGUCGAAUGUCUAGUUUACUAGGCAUGGCAGACGGGAGAGUAACACAUUGGUAAUCUACCUUUAUCUCGGGCAUAACCCGGAGAAAUCUGGAGUAAUUCCCGAUAAUUAUGGGGGGACAUAAGUCAUUCCCAUAUAAAGUUCCGACGGAUAGAGAGGAGCCUAUGGCCCAUCAGCUUGUUGGUAGGGUAAUGGCCUACCAAGGCUACGACGGGUAGCGGGUGUGAGAGCAUGGCCCGCCCCACUGGGACUGAGACACUGCCUAGACUCCUACGGGAGGCUGCAGUCAAGAAUCUUCCUCAAUGGACGAAAGUCUGAAGGAGCAAUUCCGCGUGGUUGAUGACGGUCUUCGGAUUGUAAAAACCUUUUAUCAGGGACGAAUUCGUGACGGUACCUGAUGAAUAAGUCACUGCUAACUUCGU
RNAcentral lists this ribosomal RNA (451 nucleotides) under uncultured bacterium. Its description in RNAcentral is "bacterial SSU rRNA". It matches the Rfam family "Bacterial small subunit ribosomal RNA", at positions 29 to 506 of the family's 1533-position model. The record is from RNAcentral.